This 301-nucleotide ribosomal RNA is filed under the name uncultured bacterium. Its description in RNAcentral is "partial 16S ribosomal RNA". It matches the Rfam family "Bacterial small subunit ribosomal RNA", at positions 509 to 807 of the family's 1533-position model. The record is from RNAcentral.
CAGCCGCCGCGGGAAUACGUAGGGUGCGAGCGUUAAUCGGAAUUACUGGGCGUAAAGCGUGCGCAGGCGGUUCUAUAAGACAGAUGUGAAAUCCCCGGGCUCAACCUGGGAACUGCAUUUGUGACUGUAGAGCUGGAGUGCGGCAGAGGGGGAUGGAAUUCCGCGUGUAGCAGUGAAAUGCGUAGAUAUGCGGAGGAACACCGAUGGCGAAGGCAAUCCCCUGGGCCUGCACUGACGCUCAUGCACGAAAGCGUGGGGAGCAAACAGGAUUAGAUACCCCAGUAGUCCCUGUCUCUUAUAC